AAGUCGUAACAAGGUUUCCGUAGGUGAACCUGCGGAAGGAUCAUUAAUGAAAUUAUAAUCCGGCGAGGGGAAAGGCGGAGAGUUGUAGCUGGCCUCUAGGGGCAUGUGCACGCUCUCUUCCGGACCUUUCGCCGUAUGGGCGCGGGGCGACCCGCGUCUUCAUAUACCUCUUCGUGUAGAAAGUCUUUGAAUGUUUUACCAUCAUCGAGUCGCGACUUCUAGGAGACGCGAUUCUUUGAGAAAAAAGUUAUUACAACUUUCAGCAACGGAUCUCUUGGCUCUCGCAUCGAUGAAGAACGCAGCGAAUCGCGAUAUGUAAUGUGAAUUGCAGAUCUACAGUGAAUCAUCGAAUCUUUGAACGCACCUUGCGCUCCUCGGUGUUCCGAGGAGCAUGCCUGUUUGAGUGUCAGUAAAUUCUCAACCCCUCUCGAUUUGCUUCGAGCGGGUGCUUGGAUGUUGGGGGCUGCCGGAGACACUGGAUUUCGUCCAGGACUCGGGCUCCUCUUAAAUGAAUCGGCUCGCGGUCGACUUUCGACUUUGCAUGACAAGGCCUUUGGCGUGAUAAUGAUCGCCGUUCGCCGAAGUGCAAGACAGAAUGGUCCCGUGCCUCUAAUGCGUCGACGCCUCUAGGGGCGUCUUCCUCAUUGACGUUGACCUC
This 658-nucleotide ribosomal RNA is filed under the name uncultured Suillus. RNAcentral describes it as "eukaryotic LSU rRNA". The stretch from base 255 to 409 matches the Rfam family "5.8S ribosomal RNA". The record is from RNAcentral. Lineage: Eukaryota; Fungi; Basidiomycota; Agaricomycetes; Boletales; Suillaceae.